GCAGUCGUACGCUUCUUUUUCCACNGGAGCUUGCUCCACCGGAAAAAGAAGAGUGGCGAACGGGUGAGUAACACGUGGGUAACCUGCCCAUCAGAAGGGGAUAACACUUGGAAACAGGUGCUAAUACCGUAUAACAAUCGAAACCGCAUGGUUUUGAUUUGAAAGGCGCUUUCGGGUGUCGCUGAUGGAUGGACCCGCGGUGCAUUAGCUAGUUGGUGAGGUAACGGCUCACCAAGGCCACGAUGCAUAGCCGACCUGAGAGGGUGAUCGGCCACAUUGGGACUGAGACACGGCCCAAACUCCUACGGGAGGCAGCAGUAGGGAAUCUUCGGCAAUGGACGAAAGUCUGACCGAGCAACGCCGCGUGAGUGAAGAAGGUUUUCGGAUCGUAAAACUCUGUUGUUAGAGAAGAACAAGGAUGAGAGUAACUGUUCAUCCCUUGACGGUAUCUAACCAGAAAGCCACGGCUAACUACGUGCCAGCAGCCGCGGUAAUACGUAGGUGGCAAGCGUUGUCCGGAUUUAUUGGGCGUAAAGCGAGCGCAGGCGGUUUCUUAAGUCUGAUGUGAAAGCCCCCGGCUCAACCGGGGAGGGUCAUUGGAAACUGGGAGACUUGAGUGCAGAAGAGGAGAGUGGAAUUCCAUGUGUAGCGGUGAAAUGCGUAGAUAUAUGGAGGAACACCAGUGGCGAAGGCGGCUCUCUGGUCUGUAACUGACGCUGAGGCUCGAAAGCGUGGGGAGCAAACAGGAUUAGAUACCCUGGUAGUCCACGCCGUAAACGAUGAGUGCUAAGUGUUGGAGGGUUUCCGCCCUUCAGUGCUGCAGCUAACGCAUUAAGCACUCCGCCUGGGGAGUACGACCGCAAGGUUGAAACUCAAAGGAAUUGACGGGGNCCNGCNAAG
RNAcentral lists this ribosomal RNA (900 nucleotides) under Bacilli bacterium. RNAcentral's name for it is "bacterial SSU rRNA". It matches the Rfam family "Bacterial small subunit ribosomal RNA", at positions 57 to 929 of the family's 1533-position model. Lineage: Bacteria; Bacillati; Bacillota; Bacilli. The record is from RNAcentral.